UGACCUCGGAUCAGGUAGGGAUACCCGCUGAACUUAAGCAUAUCAACG
RNAcentral lists this ribosomal RNA (48 nucleotides) under Trichophyton verrucosum. RNAcentral describes it as "partial 28S ribosomal RNA". Lineage: Eukaryota; Fungi; Ascomycota; Eurotiomycetes; Onygenales; Arthrodermataceae. The record is from RNAcentral.